CGAGAGGCAUUGAGGCACUUGAGAAACAGACCGUAUUGUGGUGUGGCUUCAUUUCUCAGAGAAGAGCCGUGAAAAGAUACAAGCAUCUUCUCUGACGUGGGUCCGCUGGUCUCCGGCGGGACAAAGAGCUCCUGUGGGGCUCGUGUCCUCGUCUGCAGUGUGUUCAUCUUGAUCCUAGAAAAGAGACCGCUCAGGAUGGGGAUAUUUCAAUUGCUCCGGGACCGAAGAAUCUCCUCACGUGGGCCAGGCCUUCACACACCCAAAGCGGAACCGCGUCGGCGAAAAGGAUUGACAACCGGUCUCAUGACCCAGGCAGAGAGGCAGAAACAGGCUCACCAAAGACAGGCCGCCAUGCGAGAAACAGCUUUGUGGUGCACAGGGCACAUUCGGCCAAGGACACACACGCACACGGGCACACACACACAAACCGACAGAGAGAGGGAAAGAAACACACAGAGACUGAGAGACAGAGAGAGAAGAGAGAAUGGGAGACACACACACACAUACACACACAGACACACACACAGAGUCUUAUAGCAAAGGCAUUGAAAGACACACACCCAGGCAACCCCUGAGGCUGUGGGGUUCUGCUUUCGACGAGAACGACCCUUCGGUGAGAGAGCACCCCAGGGGCACGCAGGCCGUCCUGUCCUCGAGAUCACCGCGUCACGACUUUUGGGGAGACUCACCCCCACCAACACCGUCCAGAGAGGCCUGAGGGAGGGAUUCCAUGCUGCCUUCUCCGGACUCUGCGUCGGGUUUCCUCACCCUGUUCGGCCCUUUGUGACUCUUGGCAUCCGGAGACUUUCCCCUCGACCCAGUGGAGCCGUCAGGCCGGAGCCUCAGAGCCUUGACACCCAAGCACUGCCACGGAAGUCUCCCCCUUUGCCAAGCCUCGGGGACUGGUUUCUAAGACAACCGUGGGAACCACUGUGACGGGAGAAACCGCUUGUGCUUCGCGCAUGCGCAUUGGCUGGGCCGACUCUUUCUCCCCUCCUGGCAGUCAGGCUGCGUCCCCUUUAAAGAACGCCACCGCUGAGAACUGACCCUCACAUCUCCCUUCCUGAAUUUCUUUAGGGAAAGCAACAACCAUCCCUGUAAGCCAUGGGUUUUCAUGCGGAGGAAGGAGAGGGCUAGUUGUCUGAGAGGGUAACUGCUUAAGGCUGCAGACUAGGAAAUGGGAUUCCAGGUUUAAGAUAGCUCCUUUCUGGACCUCAGUCCUUCACCUAGUCACCUAGUCACAGGGUGGAUUGCCUCUAAGGAUACUUAGGGGAAAAGGAACCAAAUUUGGGAUGGUUCUCCUUGCUUUAAGCCUUGAUAGGAGACGGGGAGGCCAACCCUUCUCUGCAGACCGUGAUCCUCACUAGACAGAGGAGCUCCAAACCUGCCCAUCUCAUCCCAUGCACCGACGGUGCCUGGCCUGGCUCCAAACUCCCGAAAGGAACUAUUUUACAGGUGCCAAAAAGGGGACAGUGUUGAUAAUAAUAAUAAAAUGAAACAAUCUGAUUGGGGCAUUGCUGGAUCAGAAAAUGUGUGACCUUUUUAAAGUUAAAUUGUUAAAAAAUUUUAACUAUUAAACAUUUUAAAUAUUAA
This is a long non-coding RNA of Homo sapiens (human), 1593 nucleotides long. Ensembl annotates it as family with sequence similarity 27 member E3. Its record names the gene FAM27E3. The record is from Ensembl. NCBI's taxonomy places the organism in Eukaryota, Metazoa, Chordata, Mammalia, Primates, Hominidae.